RNAcentral lists this long non-coding RNA (405 nucleotides) under Junco hyemalis (dark-eyed junco). Its description in RNAcentral is "lncRNA (ENSJHYG00000011455.1)". Lineage: Eukaryota; Metazoa; Chordata; Aves; Passeriformes; Passerellidae. The record is from RNAcentral.
CUUUCCUGCAUGCAAAGGCAGCUCUUGCUGCAGCAAACAGCAGCAUUUGGGGCUUUAGUUUAACCUCAAAAUACACAUGAACCAAACACCUGUGAAACCUGGAACAGAAGUUGCAACUGCUCCCGGUUAUAUGGUGUCUGCCUGGCAUUUAACUGCAGGCAUUUAUUGGUCACAUUUAGCUGGCUAUGGGGAGACUACCACAAGCUUUAAUCCUGCUGAUGCAAGCCAAAAACCAAGCAAGCCUACAAGAGGACACAGGAAGCACUGGAAAAAAAUAGCACAGGGAGCGCAGAGAGGCUCAUACAACGUCUGUUUUCAUGUCCAUGAGGGAAAAGAUGGGCUGAGGAAAAUGAAUUCUUCUGUUUGGAAGAAAAUAAAUUCAAAAUGCUAUAUUUGUAUUUUCAC